CGAGGGGUGCAAGCGUUAUUCGGAAUUACUGGGCGUAAAGGGUGCGUAGACGGUUUAUUAAGUCUUUUGUUAAAUACCUCGGCCUAACUGAGGAUCAGCGAGAGAUACUGGUAAACUUGAGGAUGGAAGAGAGAAGUGGAAUUCUCGGAGUAGCGGUAAAAAUGCGUAGAUCUCGAGAGGAACACCGAUGGUGAAAGCAGCUUCUUGGUCCAUAUCUGACGUUGAGGCACGAAAGCGUGGGGAGCAAACAGGAUUAGAUACCCUGGUAGUCCACGCUGUAAACGAUGAUCACUAGACGUCGGUCUUGCGUUGCAAGAUCGGUGUCGUAGCUAACGCGUUAAGUGAUCCGCCUGGGGAGUACGGUCGCAAGACUA
RNAcentral lists this ribosomal RNA (374 nucleotides) under uncultured organism. RNAcentral's name for it is "bacterial SSU rRNA". It matches the Rfam family "Bacterial small subunit ribosomal RNA", at positions 526 to 896 of the family's 1533-position model. The record is from RNAcentral.